AGUGAACGCUGGCGGUAGGCCUAACACAUGCAAGUCGAACGGCAGCACAGUAAGAGCUUGCUCUUACGGGUGCCGAGUGGCGGACGGGUGAGGAAUACCUCGGAAUCUACUUUUUCGUGGGGGAUAACGCAGGGAAACUUACGCUAAUACCGCAUACGACCUACGGGUGAAAGCAUGGGAUCUUCGGACCUCGCGCGAUUGAAUGAGCCGAUGUCGGAUUAGCUAGUUGGCGGGGUAAAGGCCCACCAAGGCGACGAUCCGUAGCUGGUCUGAGAGGAUGAUCAGCCACACUGGAACUGAGACACGGUCCAGACUCCUACGGGAGGCAGCAGUGGGGAAUAUUGGACAAUGGGCGCAAGCCUGAUCCAGCCAUACCGCGUGUGUGAAGAAGGCCUUCGGGUUGUAAAGCCCUUUUGUUGGGAAAGAAAAGCAGCAGGUUAAUACCCCGCUGUUCUGACGGUACCCAAAGAAUAAGCACCGGCUAACUUCGUG
Molecule: ribosomal RNA, 492 nt
Filed under: uncultured bacterium
Lineage: Bacteria
Description: partial 16S ribosomal RNA
Rfam family: Bacterial small subunit ribosomal RNA
Source: RNAcentral